This 247-nucleotide unclassified non-coding RNA is filed under the name uncultured Mortierella. Its description in RNAcentral is "sequence contains ITS2". The record is from RNAcentral. Lineage: Eukaryota; Fungi; Mortierellomycota; Mortierellomycetes; Mortierellales; Mortierellaceae.
AACACCUCAAAACUCUUGGUUUUUUCCAUGAGUUUUGGACUUGAGCAAACCCAACGCCUUCUCUCACGAUUUGGCGGCGGGUUGCUUGAAAUGCAGGUGCAGCUGGACAUUCUCCUGAGCUAAAAGCAUAUUUAUUUAGUCCCGUCAAACGGAUUAUUACUUUUGCUGCAGCUAACAUAAAGGGAGUUUUGACCGUAUUGGCUGACUGAUGCAGGAUUUCACAGAGUCGGAAACGAUUCUGUCAAAC